RNAcentral lists this ribosomal RNA (521 nucleotides) under uncultured bacterium. RNAcentral's name for it is "bacterial SSU rRNA". It matches the Rfam family "Bacterial small subunit ribosomal RNA", at positions 355 to 896 of the family's 1533-position model. The record is from RNAcentral.
UGGGGAAUUUUGCGCAAUGGGGGAAACCCUGACGCAGCGACGCCGCGUGAAGGAUGAAGGUCUUCGGAUUGUAAACUUCUUUUGUCGGGGAAGAUAAUGACGGUACCCGAUGAAUAAGCCACGGCUAACUCUGUGCCAGCAGCCGCGGUAAGACAGAGGUGGCAAGCGUUGUUCGGAAUUACUGGGCUUAAAGGGCGCGUAGGCGGUGGAGUAAGUCUGAGGUGGAAGGUCAGGGCUUAACCCGAAAUUGCCUUGGAAACUGCAUCACUUGAGUCAGCGAGGGGAUGGCGGAAUUCCAGGUGUAGCGGUGAAAUGCGUAGAUAUCUGGAGGAAGGCCGGUGGCGAAGGCGGCCAUCUGGCGCUGAACUGACGCUGAGGCGCGAAAGCGUGGGGAGCAAACAGGACUAGAUACCCUGGUAGUCCACGCCCUAAACGGUGGGUACUAGGUGUAGGGCUCGUAAGGGUUCUGUGCCGUAGGGAAACCAUUAAGUACCCGCCUGGGGAGUACGGCCGCAAGGUUA